AUCCCGAUGUACAGGAAGGAGGCAUCUUCUUUCUGUGAAACAUCCUUUAGGGGAUGGGGCGCGGAUGGACCCGCGGUGCAUUAGUUGGUUGGCGGGGUAAAGGCCCACCAAGACGAUGAUGCAUAGCCGGCCUGAGAGGGCGGACGGCCACAUUGGGACUGAGACACGGCCCAGACUCCUGCGGGAGGCAGCAGUAGGGAAUUUUCGUCAAUGGGCGCAAGCCUGAACGAGCGAUGCCGCGUGAGUGAAGAAGGCCUUCGGGUCGUAAAGCUCUGUUGCGGGGGAAAAAAGGCAGCAUCAGGAAAUGGGUGCUGACUGAUGGUGCCCCGCCAGAAAGUCACGGCUAACUACGUGCCAGCAGCCGCGGUAAUACGUAGGUGGCGAGCGUUAUCCGGAAUGAUUGGGCGUAAAGGGUGCGCAGGCGGUCCUGCAAGUCUGGAGUGAAACGCAUGAGCUCAACUCAUGCAUGGCUUUGGAAACUGGAGGACUGGAGAGCAGGAGAGGGCGGUGGAACUCCAUGUGUAGCGGUAAAAUGCGUAGAUAUAUGGAAGAACACCAGUGGCGAAGGCGGCCGCCUGGCCUGUUGCUGACGCUGAGGCACGAAAGCGUGGGGAGCAAAUAGAAUUAGAUACCCUAGUAGUCCACGCCGUAAACGAU
RNAcentral lists this ribosomal RNA (657 nucleotides) under uncultured bacterium. RNAcentral's name for it is "bacterial SSU rRNA". It matches the Rfam family "Bacterial small subunit ribosomal RNA", at positions 167 to 810 of the family's 1533-position model. The record is from RNAcentral.